Molecule: RNA transcript, 598 nt
Organism: Solanum dulcamara
Lineage: Eukaryota; Viridiplantae; Streptophyta; Magnoliopsida; Solanales; Solanaceae
Exons: 4
Source: RefSeq, a predicted model, not a curated record
UUUUAGACAUAUCUUCUCAUGAACCAACCCUUUGAAAAAGACUAAUAUCAAUCAUGAUGCCCCUUUUGUUUUCAUCUUCAUCUUAUCUCUCCUUCUUCUUAUUUUUGGUCAUUUACUUUCCAAGCCAUCAUCCAUGUAUUGCUCGCAAGUCACUAGCUAACAAGCAGACUGUAUUAGAGGAGCUUUCAGGAAUCGCCAACAGAUCAAUACAAGACUUUCACAAGAAAAAAAAUGAUACUAAAGUCGUGUUUUCAGCAUGUAUGAUUUGCAUGUUAUUGUUGAGAUUAGACUAGACAUGCAGGUAGGGAAAUGAUUGGGUCUGAUUCGUCUUCAUCAACUUUGCCCCACGCAGAACGUUUGCUCAAGCCACCAAAAACAAAGGGUGCAAGAUGGUCAACAACUUAUGAAAUACACAUGGCUUCCAAGACUGGAAAUAAGAAGAAUUAUGGAGACAUUAUAGAGAUGGAUUACGACCCACCACACCGUAAACCACCCAUUCACAAUUAAUACAACAACCUAGAAAUUUUCCAUAUUUAUUUGUAUCCCGCAUAUAUACUAUUACAUCAUGACUCAACAGUAUUUAUCUCCUCUGUGUUAU